Molecule: long non-coding RNA, 2125 nt
Filed under: Homo sapiens (human)
Lineage: Eukaryota; Metazoa; Chordata; Mammalia; Primates; Hominidae
Description: HSALNT0083178
Source: RNAcentral
AUUUCAUCCUGCUCCUCCUCUACAGGGACAUUUCAUCCAGCUCCUCCUCUACAGGGACAUUCCACCCAGCUCCUCCUCUACAGGGACAUUCCACCCAGCUCCUCCUCUACAGACACAUUCCAUCCAGCUCCUCCUCUACAGACACAUUCCAUCCAGCUCCUCCUCUACAGACACAUUUCAUCCAGCUCCUCCUCUACAGGGACAUUCCAUCCAGCUCCUCCUCUACAGACACAUUCCAUCCAGCUCCUCCUCGACAGACACAUUCCAUCCAGCUCCUCCUCUACAGACACAUUCCAUCCAGCUCCUCCUCUACGGACACAUUCCAUCCAGCUCCUCCUCUACAGACACAUUCCAUCCAGCUCCUCCUCUACAGACACAUUCCAUCCAGCUCCUCCUCUACAGACACAUUCCAUCCAGCUCCUCCUCUACAGACACAUUCCAUCCAGCUCCUCCUCUACAGACACAUUCCAUCCAGCUCCUCCUCUACAGACACAUUCCAUCCAGCUCCUCCUCUACAGACACAUUUCAUCCAGCUCCUCCUCUGCAGACACAUUCCAUCCAGCUCCUCCUCUACAGGAUACAUUCCAUCCAGCUCCUCCUCUACAGGAUACAUUUCAUCCAGCUACUCCUCUACGGACACAUUUCAUCCAGCUCCUCCUCUACGGACACAUUUCAUCCAGCUCCUCCUCUACAGGGACAUUUCUUCCAGCUCCUCCUCUACAGACACAUUCCAUCCAGCUCCUCCUCUACAGACACAUUUCAUCCAGCUCCUCCUCUGCAGACACAUUCCAUCCAGCUCCUCCUCUACAGACACAUUUCAUCCAGCUCCUCCUCUGCAGACACAUUUCAUCCAGCUCCUCCUCUACGGACACAUUUCAUCCAGCUCCUCCUCUACAGACAGAUUUCAUCCAGCUCCUCCUCUACAGACACACUUCAUCCAGCUCCUCCUCUACAGACAGUUUUCUUCCAGCUCCUUGUCUACAGACACAUUUCAUCCAGCUCCUCCUCUAUAGACACAUUCCAUCCAGCUCCUCCUCUACAGACACAUUUCAUCCAGCUCCUCCUCUACAGGGACACUCCAUCCAGAUCCUCCUCUACAGACACAUUUCAUCCAGCUCCUGCUCUACAGACACAUUGCAUCCAGCUCCUCCUCUACAGACACAUUUCAUCCAGCUCCUCCUCUACAGACACAUUCCAUCCAGCUCCUCCUCUACAGACACAUUUCAUCCAGCUCCUCCUCUACAGGGACAUUCCAUCCAGCUCCUCCUCUACAGACACAUUUCAUACAGCUCCUCCUCUACAGAGACAUUGCAUCCAGCUCCUCCUCUACAGGCAUGACGGCCGCAGAGGCCCCCACCCACAGGUGGGCCACCAACUGCAGAGACCUCAGACUCCGGCUCCUGCCGGUGUGGCACAGAGCUCAGUGAGGAGCUAGGCUUAAGCCUGGGCCCUCUCACCCUGAAGGCCAUCGCCCCCCUCAAGGGUUUGCUCCUGAGCUGGUCUUGCCCCACGAGGCUCCCUUUUGGCCGGCUUUUCUGAGCUCCGGAACAACCAAGGCUGGACCACAGGGCACCGAGUGAUUUCCGUCAGUGCCUACCUGGCCGCUGUGCUCAGAUCUCCAGCCACAGCACGAGCCUCUCAAGGCCCCACGGUUUACACCUCUGCUUUGCACAUGGUGGGAUUUCUCAAGCACAUGAAAACACUCUGUUUGGUGGACAGGGCCUCAGGCCUCUGCUUGGUGGACAGGGCCUCAGGACUCACCACUGCUUGGUGGACAGGGCCUCAGGACUCUCUGCUUGGUGGACAGAGCCUCAGGACUCUCUGCUUGGUGGACAGAGCCUCAGGACUCUCUGCUUGGUGGACAGGGCCUCAGGACUCUCUGCUUGGUGGACAGGGCCUCAGGACUCUCUGCCUGGUGGACAGGGCCUCAGGACUCUCUGCCUGGUGGACAGGGCCUCAGGACUCUCUGCCUGGUGGACAGGGCCUCAGGACUCUCUGCCUGGUGGACAGGGCCUCAGGACUCUCUGCUUGGUGGACAGAGCCUCAGGACUCUCUGCCUGGUGGACAGGGCCUCAGGACUCUCUGCCUGGUGGACAGAGCCUCAGGACUCUCUGCUUGGUGGACA